GGGGGUAUAGCCCAGUGGUACAGUGCAUGCCUAGUAUGCAUGAAGUCCUGGAUUCAACCCCCAAUACCUCCA
This 72-nucleotide transfer RNA is filed under the name Camelus bactrianus (Bactrian camel). It matches the Rfam family "tRNA". From Rfam's summary of the family: Transfer RNA (tRNA) molecules are approximately 80 nucleotides in length. Their secondary structure includes four short double-helical elements and three loops (D, anti-codon, and T loops). Further hydrogen bonds mediate the characteristic L-shaped molecular structure. tRNAs have two regions of fundamental functional importance: the anti-codon, which is responsible for specific mRNA codon recognition, and the 3' end, to which the tRNAs corresponding amino acid is attached (by aminoacyl-tRNA synthetases). tRNAs cope with the degeneracy of the genetic code in two manners: having more than one tRNA (with a specific anti-codon) for a particular amino acid; and 'wobble' base-pairing, i.e. permitting non-standard base-pairing at the 3rd anti-codon position. The record is from Rfam by way of RNAcentral. RNAcentral also lists the same sequence under 2 other names. Lineage: Eukaryota; Metazoa; Chordata; Mammalia; Artiodactyla; Camelidae.